AUACGACUGUCUAAUUAAAACAAAGCAUUGUGAUUUCCACCGACUUGCCAUAACGCAAUGUGAUCUCUGCCCGAUGCUCUGAUGGUCGAAUUGAAGAAAUUCAAAAAAGUGCUGGUAAACGAAGGGAGUAACUACUGACCGUCACCCAUGCAUUGAUUCCUGAUAU
RNAcentral lists this non-coding RNA (166 nucleotides) under Trichobilharzia regenti. Its description in RNAcentral is "Eukaryotic large subunit ribosomal RNA". It matches the Rfam family "Eukaryotic large subunit ribosomal RNA", at positions 2132 to 2273 of the family's 3401-position model. The record is from Rfam by way of RNAcentral. Lineage: Eukaryota; Metazoa; Platyhelminthes; Trematoda; Strigeidida; Schistosomatidae.